UACAGAGGUCUCGAGCGUUGUUCGGAUUCAUUGGGCGUAAAGGGUGCGUAGGCGGCGAGCUAAGUUUGGUGUGAAAUCCUGGGGCUUAACCUCAGAAAUGCACUGAAUACUGGUUUGCUAGAGGACUGGAGAGGAGAUUGGAAUUCACGGUGUAGCAGUGAAAUGCGUAGAUAUCGUGAGGAAGACCAGUGGCGAAGGCGGAUCUCUGGACAGUUCCUGACGCUGAGGCGCGAAGGCCAGGGGAGCAAACGGG
RNAcentral lists this ribosomal RNA (253 nucleotides) under uncultured prokaryote. RNAcentral's name for it is "partial 16S ribosomal RNA". It matches the Rfam family "Bacterial small subunit ribosomal RNA", at positions 524 to 776 of the family's 1533-position model. The record is from RNAcentral.